UCGUCAAUCACAAGUCACCAUUCAGCAGUCAAUCUUUAAAUAAUCCAUGAUACGAACCCCCGGGAAAAAUUGAGAGUUUUUUCUCUGUGGACACCGAUUCAGGUGUUAACGAUCUUGCUCUCUCUCGCUCACUGUUAUUUGUAUUACCUGCAGACGCAGAACAGCUGCGUCCUAUCCCAACCCAAGUAGCUGGAAAAGUAAUCUCAACAGCAGCAGCAAUUUAAUCGACCAAGAAAAUGGCUCAAGAGUCACUGACGGAAACCCCAGUCAUCUCGUCAAAUACUCUAUCGCAGACAGAUUCAUCUCUUUCUAGAAGCGUUUCUUUUAGCCGGCUCAAUGCACAGGCACCAGAAUUUGUGCCCACUCGACCCACCCCACGAACCGAUUUGCAGCAGCAACCUAGACCCGUACUACUUCCGCCUCCUUCUCCUCCUUCGGCAUCAGGUAUGGUACAUGUUUACUCACCAUCCCCAUCUUCGCCGUUCCAUAUACCGAUUCGAGGCCACGUACCAGUCGCUAAUCACCACCACCACCGCCACCAUCAUGUUCCGGUUCACUACCGGUCUCAUCAUCACCCUCAUCAAUAUCAUGUUAGCUCCGAUUCGGCUGUGCAGCAACCUCAGCAGUCUCACGUUGAGCCAGAUCACACUCCUUUCAAAAGCAAGCAUUCCGGUAUGUUGAUUAAUUUAAAAAAAAAUAGAAAUAGAAAUAUAUAUAUAUAUAUAUAUAAAUCCAAAAUUAAAGAUUUAAAAACUUAUGAAACUAAAAGUACAUUUAGACCUAAUAAAUAUUGUUUCUGGGCAAAAAAAGCAAAAAACCUCACCGUGGUCAGCGUUCAUCUUCGUCAAUCACAAGUCACCAUUCAGCAGUCAAUCUUUAAAUAAUCCAUGAUACGAACCCCCGGGAAAAAUUGAGAGUUUUUUCUCUGUGGACACCGAUUCAGGUGUUAACGAUCUUGCUCUCUCUCGCUCACUGUUAUUUGUAUUACCUGCAGACGCAGAACAGCUGCGUCCUAUCCCAACCCAAGUAGCUGGAAAAGUAAUCUCAACAGCAGCAGCAAUUUAAUCGACCAAGAAAAUGGCUCAAGAGUCACUGACGGAAACCCCAGUCAUCUCGUCAAAUACUCUAUCGCAG
This 1134-nucleotide long non-coding RNA is filed under the name Cicer arietinum (chickpea). Its description in RNAcentral is "long non-coding RNA (CARI_LNC000903)". Lineage: Eukaryota; Viridiplantae; Streptophyta; Magnoliopsida; Fabales; Fabaceae. The record is from RNAcentral.